This is a small nucleolar RNA of Sardina pilchardus (European sardine), 81 nucleotides long. RefSeq annotates it as small nucleolar RNA SNORD35. The record is from RefSeq and is a predicted model, not a curated record. NCBI's taxonomy places the organism in Eukaryota, Metazoa, Chordata, Actinopteri, Clupeiformes, Clupeidae. The transcript has a single exon.
UGCAAAUGAUGUCUUCUCACGAUGGUCUUCCAAGUCUGUGGCAUUGACGACAACGCCUUUAGGCAUUACUGAUGCAGUUAA